RNAcentral lists this ribosomal RNA (987 nucleotides) under uncultured cyanobacterium. Its description in RNAcentral is "bacterial SSU rRNA". It matches the Rfam family "Bacterial small subunit ribosomal RNA", at positions 471 to 1456 of the family's 1533-position model. The record is from RNAcentral. Lineage: Bacteria; Bacillati; Cyanobacteriota.
GACGGUACUUGAGGAAUAAGCCACGGCUAAUUCCGUGCCAGCAGCCGCGGUAAUACGGGAGUGGCAAGCGUUAUCCGGAAUUAUUGGGCGUAAAGCGUCCGCAGGCGGCCUCGAAAGUCUGUCGUUAAAGCGUGGAGCUUAACUCCAUUUAAGCGGUGGAAACUACGAGGCUAGAGUGUGGUAGGGGCAGAGGGAAUUCCCGGUGUAGCGGUGAAAUGCGUAGAUAUCGGGAAGAACACCAGUGGCGAAGGCGCUCUGCUGGGCCAUAACUGACGCUCAUGGACGAAAGCCAGGGGAGCGAAAGGGAUUAGAUACCCCUGUAGUCCUGGCCGUAAACGAUGAACACUAGGUGUCGGGGGAAUCGACCCCCUCGGUGUCGUAGCUAACGCGUUAAGUGUUCCGCCUGGGGAGUACGCACGCAAGUGUGAAACUCAAAGGAAUUGACGGGGGCCCGCACAAGCGGUGGAGUAUGUGGUUUAAUUCGAUGCAACGCGAAGAACCUUACCAGGGCUUGACAUCCUGCGAAUCCCUUGGAAACUUGGGAGUGCCUUCGGGAGCGCAGAGACAGGUGGUGCAUGGCUGUCGUCAGCUCGUGUCGUGAGAUGUUGGGUUAAGUCCCGCAACGAGCGCAACCCACGUCUUUAGUUGCCAGCAUUAAGUUGGGCACUCUAGAGGGACCGCCGGUGAUAAACCGGAGGAAGGUGUGGAUGACGUCAAGUCAUCAUGCCCCUUACGUCCUGGGCUACACACGUACUACAAUGCUACGGACAAAGGGCAGCAAACUCGCGAGAGCUAGCAAAUCCCAUAAACCGUGGCUCAGUUCAGAUCGUAGGCUGCAACUCGCCUACGUGAAGGAGGAAUCGCUAGUAAUCGCAGGUCAGCAUACUGCGGUGAAUACGUUCCCGGGCCUUGUACACACCGCCCGUCACACCAUGGAAGUUGGCCACGCCCGAAGUCGUUACUCCAACCCGCAAGGGAGGAGGAUGC